UACAGAGGGCCCAAGCGUUAUUCGGAUUCACUGGGCGUAAAGGGUGCGCAGGCGGCCGUGUGUGUGAGGCGUGAAAGCCCGGGGCUUAACCCCGGAAUUGCACCUCAAACUACACGGCUAGAGCAUUGGAGAGGGUAGCGGAAUUCACGGUGUAGCAGUGAAAUGCGUAGAUAUCGUGAGGAACACCAGAGGCGAAGGCGGCUACCUGGACAAUUGCUGACGCUCAGGCACGAAAGCGUGGGGAGCAAAAGGG
Molecule: ribosomal RNA, 253 nt
Filed under: uncultured bacterium
Lineage: Bacteria
Description: partial 16S ribosomal RNA
Rfam family: Bacterial small subunit ribosomal RNA
Source: RNAcentral